AGAGUUUGAUCAUGGCUCAGAUUGAACGCUGGCGGCAGGCCUAACACAUGCAAGUCGAGCGGCAGCACGGGUACUUGUACCUGGUGGCGAGCGGCGGACGGGUGAGUAAUACCUAGGAAUCUGCCUGGUAGUGGGGGGAUAACGUUCGGAAACGGACGCUAAUACCGCAUACGUCCUACGGGAGAAAGCAGGGGACCUUCGGGCCUUGCGCUAUCAGAUGAGCCUAGGUCGGAUUAGCUAGUUGGUGAGGUAAUGGCUCACCAAGGCUACGAUCCGUAACUGGUCUGAGAGGAUGAUCAGUCACACUGGAACUGAGACACGGUCCAGACUCCUACGGGAGGCAGCAGUGGGGAAUAUUGGACAAUGGGCGAAAGCCUGAUCCAGCCAUGCCGCGUGUGUGAAGAAGGUCUUCGGAUUGUAAAGCACUUUAAGUUGGGAGGAAGGGCCGUUACCUAAUACGUGAUGGUUUUGACGUUACCGACAGAAUAAGCACCGGCUAACUCUGUGCCAGCAGCCGCGGUAAUACAGAGGGUGCAAGCGUUAAUCGGAAUUACUGGGCGUAAAGCGCGCGUAGGUGGUUCGUUAAGUUGGAUGUGAAAUCCCCGGGCUCAACCUGGGAACUGCAUUCAAAACUGUCGAGCUAGAGUAUGGUAGAGGGUGGUGGAAUUUCCUGUGUAGCGGUGAAAUGCGUAGAUAUAGGAAGGAACACCAGUGGCGAAGGCGACCACCUGGACUGAUACUGACACUGAGGUGCGAAAGCGUGGGGAGCAAACAGGAUUAGAUACCCNNGUAGUCC
Molecule: ribosomal RNA, 796 nt
Filed under: uncultured bacterium
Lineage: Bacteria
Description: bacterial SSU rRNA
Rfam family: Bacterial small subunit ribosomal RNA
Source: RNAcentral